Molecule: ribosomal RNA, 180 nt
Filed under: Klebsiella oxytoca
Lineage: Bacteria; Pseudomonadati; Pseudomonadota; Gammaproteobacteria; Enterobacterales; Enterobacteriaceae
Description: partial 23S ribosomal RNA
Rfam family: Bacterial large subunit ribosomal RNA
Source: RNAcentral
GAUAAGUGCUGAAAGCAUCUAAGCACGAAACUUGCCCCGAGAUGAGUUCUCCCUGACCCUUUAAGGGUCCUGAAGGAACGUUGAAGACGACGACGUUGAUAGGCCGGGUGUGUAAGCGCAGCGAUGCGUUGAGCUAACCGGUACUAAUGAACCGUGAGGCUUAACCUUACAACGCCGAAG